This 1100-nucleotide ribosomal RNA is filed under the name Bacillus licheniformis. RNAcentral's name for it is "bacterial SSU rRNA". It matches the Rfam family "Bacterial small subunit ribosomal RNA", at positions 35 to 1117 of the family's 1533-position model. The record is from RNAcentral. Lineage: Bacteria; Bacillati; Bacillota; Bacilli; Caryophanales; Bacillaceae.
GUGGACGGCGGGUGCCUAUACAUGCAAGUCGAGCGGACAGAUGGGAGCUUGCUCCCUGAUGUUAGCGGCGGACGGGUGAGUAACACGUGGGUAACCUGCCUGUAAGACUGGGAUAACUCCGGGAAACCGGGGCUAAUACCGGAUGCUUGAUUGAACCGCAUGGUUCAAUUAUAAAAGGUGGCUUUUAGCUACCACUUACAGAUGGACCCGCGGCGCAUUAGCUAGUUGGUGAGGUAACGGCUCACCAAGGCAACGAUGCGUAGCCGACCUGAGAGGGUGAUCGGCCACACUGGGACUGAGACACGGCCCAGACUCCUACGGGAGGCAGCAGUAGGGAAUCUUCCGCAAUGGACGAAAGUCUGACGGAGCAACGCCGCGUGAGUGAUGAAGGUUUUCGGAUCGUAAAACUCUGUUGUUAGGGAAGAACAAGUACCGUUCGAAUAGGGCGGUACCUUGACGGUACCUAACCAGAAAGCCACGGCUAACUACGUGCCAGCAGCCGCGGUAAUACGUAGGUGGCAAGCGUUGUCCGGAAUUAUUGGGCGUAAAGCGCGCGCAGGCGGUUUCUUAAGUCUGAUGUGAAAGCCCCCGGCUCAACCGGGGAGGGUCAUUGGAAACUGGGGAACUUGAGUGCAGAAGAGGAGAGUGGAAUUCCACGUGUAGCGGUGAAAUGCGUAGAGAUGUGGAGGAACACCAGUGGCGAAGGCGACUCUCUGGUCUGUAACUGACGCUGAGGCGCGAAAGCGUGGGGAGCGAACAGGAUUAGAUACCCUGGUAGUCCACGCCGUAAACGAUGAGUGCUAAGUGUUAGAGGGUUUCCGCCCUUUAGUGCUGCAGCAAACGCAUUAAGCACUCCGCCUGCGGAGUACGGUCGCGGGACUGAAACUCAAAGGAAUUGACUGGGGCGCGCACAAUCUGUGGAGCAUGUGGUUUAAUUCAAAUCAACGCCAAAAAACUUUACCGGGUCUUGACGUCCUCUGACAACCCUAGACAUAGGGGUUCGCCUUCCGGGGGAGGAGUGACAAGUGGUGGAAGGGUUGUCGUCUCCUCCACACCACGAGAUGUUGGAGUUAAGUCGCUUCACUCCCCCCCAACCGGUG